GGCGAUGAUGCAUAGCCGAGUUGAGAGACUGAUCGGCCACAAUGGGACUGAGACACGGCCCAUACUCCUACGGGAGGCAGCAGUAGGGAAUCUUCCACAAUGGGCGCAAGCCUGAUGGAGCAACACCGCGUGAGUGAAGAAGGGUUUCGGCUCGUAAAGCUCUGUUGUUAAAGAAGAACACGUAUGAGAGUAACUGUUCAUACGUUGACGGUAUUUAACCAGAAAGUCACGGCUAACUACGUGCCAGCAGCCGCGGUAAUACGUAGGUGGCAAGCGUUAUCCGGAUUUAUUGGGCGUAAAGAGAGUGCAGGCGGUUUUCUAAGUCUGAUGUGAAAGCCUUCGGCUUAACCGGAGAAGUGCAUCGGAAACUGGAUAACUUGAGUGCAGAAGAGGGUAGUGGAACUCCAUGUGUAGCGGUGGAAUGCGUAGAUAUAUGGAAGAACACCAGUGGCGAAGGCGGCUACCUGGUCUGCAACUGACGCUGAGACUCGAAAGCAUGGGUAGCGAACAGGAUUAGAUACCCUGGUAGUCCAUGCCGUAAACGAUGAGUGCUAGGUGUUGGAGGGUUUCCGCCCUUCAGUGCCGGAGCUAACGCAUUAAGCACUCCGCCUGGGGAGUACGACCGCAAGGUUGAAACUCAAAGGAAUUGACGGGGGCCC
This 659-nucleotide ribosomal RNA is filed under the name Limosilactobacillus fermentum. RNAcentral describes it as "bacterial SSU rRNA". It matches the Rfam family "Bacterial small subunit ribosomal RNA", at positions 272 to 922 of the family's 1533-position model. Lineage: Bacteria; Bacillati; Bacillota; Bacilli; Lactobacillales; Lactobacillaceae. The record is from RNAcentral.